RNAcentral lists this ribosomal RNA (700 nucleotides) under Nocardioides sp. KP62. RNAcentral's name for it is "bacterial SSU rRNA". It matches the Rfam family "Bacterial small subunit ribosomal RNA", at positions 90 to 805 of the family's 1533-position model. Lineage: Bacteria; Bacillati; Actinomycetota; Actinomycetes; Propionibacteriales; Nocardioidaceae. The record is from RNAcentral.
CUCGAGCGGCGAACGGGUGAGUAACACGUGAGUAAUCUGCCCCUCACUUCGGGAUAGCCACCGGAAACGGUGAUUAAUACCGGAUAUGACAUAGGCUCGCAUGGGUUUGUGUGGAAAGUUUUUCGGUGAGGGAUGUGCUCGCGGCCUAUCAGCUUGAUGGUGAGGUAAUGGCUCACCAUGGCUUCGACGGGUAGCCGGCCUGAGAGGGUGACCGGUCACACUGGGACUGAGACACGGCCCAGACUCCUACGGGAGGCAGCAGUGGGGAAUAUUGGACAAUGGGCGGAAGCCUGAUCCAGCAACGCCGCGUGAGGGAUGACGGCCUUCGGGUUGUAAACCUCUUUCAGUACCGACGAAGCGAGAGUGACGGUAGGUACAGAAGAAGCACCGGCCAACUACGUGCCAGCAGCCGCGGUAAUACGUAGGGUGCGAGCGUUGUCCGGAAUUAUUGGGCGUAAAGGGCUCGUAGGCGGUUUGUCGCGUCGGGAGUGAAAACGCCGUGCUUAACACGGCGCUUGCUUUCGAUACGGGCAGACUGGAGGUAUGCAGGGGAGAACGGAAUUCCUGGUGUAGCGGUGAAAUGCGCAGAUAUCAGGAGGAACACCGGUGGCGAAGGCGGUUCUCUGGGCAUUACCUGACGCUGAGGAGCGAAAGUGUGGGGAGCGAACAGGAUUAGAUACCCUGGUAGUCCACACCGUAA